GUCCUCGUAGCUCAAAGGAUAGAGUAAUCGCCUCCUAAGCGAUCGAUCCCGGUUCGAGUCCGGGCGGGGACA
Molecule: transfer RNA, 72 nt
Filed under: Candidatus Promineofilum glycogenicum
Lineage: Bacteria; Bacillati; Chloroflexota; Ardenticatenia; Promineifilales (SeqCode); Promineifilaceae (SeqCode)
Description: tRNA-Arg
Rfam family: tRNA
About the family: Transfer RNA (tRNA) molecules are approximately 80 nucleotides in length. Their secondary structure includes four short double-helical elements and three loops (D, anti-codon, and T loops).
Source: RNAcentral